GCCUGAGUGGCUCAGUGGUUGAGCAUCUGCCUUCAACUCAGGGCGUGAUCCCGGAGUCCUGGGAUCAAGUCCCACAUCAGGCU
Canis lupus familiaris (dog) is the source of this 83-nucleotide non-coding RNA. The record is from Rfam. Lineage: Eukaryota; Metazoa; Chordata; Mammalia; Carnivora; Canidae.